Molecule: ribosomal RNA, 253 nt
Filed under: uncultured bacterium
Lineage: Bacteria
Description: partial 16S ribosomal RNA
Rfam family: Bacterial small subunit ribosomal RNA
Source: RNAcentral
UACAGAGGGUGCGAGCGUUAAUCGGAAUUACUGGGCGUAAAGCGUGCGUAGACGGUCAUGUAAGUCGGAUGUGAAAGCCCCGGGCUCAACCUGGGAAUUGCAUUCGAGACUGCAUGGCUUGGGUGCGGAAGAGGGAAGCGGAAUUUCCGGUGUAGCGGUGAAAUGCGUAGAUAUCGGAAGGAACACCUGUGGCGAAAGCGGCUCACUGGACCAUUACUGACGCUGAUGCACGAAAGCUAGGGGAGCAAACAGG